Molecule: non-coding RNA, 1778 nt
Organism: Leptonychotes weddellii (Weddell seal)
Lineage: Eukaryota; Metazoa; Chordata; Mammalia; Carnivora; Phocidae
Source: RefSeq, a predicted model, not a curated record
CAUUCCGGCCAGCCCCCUCCCCAAGACCCCCCCUUCCCCGGCCCCCCUCUCAGCUCCUUCGGGCCCGGCGGAGCGGCCCGGCCGGAGCGCCCCCCCGAGCUCGGACCAGGCCCCGGCUGCCCAGUGGGCUCAGGCCCAGAGCCCAGAGCAACCAGCACGAUAGCGUCCAGCAGCUGGAAUGCCAGCAGCAGCCCCGGGGAGGCCCGGGAGGACGGGCCCGAGGGCCUGGACAAGGGGCUGGACAACGACGCAGAGGGCGUGUGGAGCCCCGACAUCGAGCAGAGCUUCCAGGAGGCCCUGGCCAUCUACCCGCCCUGCGGCCGCCGCAAGAUCAUCCUGUCAGACGAGGGCAAGAUGUACGGUCGAAAUGAGUUGAUUGCACGCUACAUUAAAUUGAGGACCGGGAAGACUCGGACAAGAAAACAGGUGGGGAGAGGAUGCGUGCUCCAUGCCAUCUGCCCACGCGUGCGUGCUCCCUCAGCUGCCCCCUUCAGCCCCUCCCUGUCCCCCUUCCUCUCCCGAGGGACCGCACGCUCCCCGGGCUGCUCUUCCCGCGGUCGUAGAGAAAGGGGCACUGCCCUUUGCGACCAGCCACCACCCUGCCCGGGGCCUUGGGUUCAGUGACCAGAGAUGAGCCCCGUGGGGCAGCUGCAGCCUGGUGUGGUCACGGCCCGAAGUGGUGCCCCGACCAGCCGGUGGCAAUGACCCACGAGGGCAGAGCAGGGCGGCGUGGCCCAGCCGAGGGUGAGUGUGUGCUCUCAGCCAGGGGUUGAAGCUGGACCCGGCAGGGCAAGGGGGGAAGGGGCUGCCAAGCCUUUCUGGAGGAGGUAACACCCAAGAUGCAUUUUUAAGGAGGAAUUCGGGGUUUAGCCCGGCAGGGAAAAGGGGAGAAGUUCUUGAGGAAGUCGGAUAUACAUAGAAUCCCUGGGAACCCACAUGGGGCUUACGUUCUAUGAAUCCGUGUAUUCCUCACAGCAACUUCGGGAGGUAGGUCUAAUAAUUAUCUCCAUCUUCCGGAUGAAAACAUGGAGGCAGGGGGAAGUUAAGUAACUUCCUCAAGGUCACUCGGCUGCUAGGUGGUGGAUCCAGGAUUGAACCCACUGGGCAGGAAAGAGCCAUCUGUCAGCAGUGUGGGGGCUGGAGAGAGGGGUGGGAAGAGCUGAGGACAGGGAGAGAGGUUGGCCGGAGGCCUGAGGGACAGGUUUCCCCUCGGGGCAGCUGGGUGCCAUGGAAGGGACUAGAACAGGGAGUGGCGGGUGGCAUCUGUCGAGGAAUGUUGGCCCUGGAGCAGCUGGGCCAUGGAUGAGGGAGGGCCGGGCAGAGGCAGGGACGGAGGUCCCCAGCGGCAGUGGGGGCAUGGAGAGAUGACUGGGUGGCUUCCGGUCCCGGGAGGGAACCCAGAAAGGGGGCUGGUUGGGGUGGCUGACGUGCGGGGUGCCCCAGAGAGAGGCAGGCUGGGCACAGAGACCCGAGGACUGGAAGCCGCCUCUGAUCCUCGGCUCUCCCAGCCUCCCUGUCUGCUGGGGUUUGGACCUUGCACCCACCUCCAAGAUCCCCAUGUGUGCGGAUGACAGAGGCGCCAUGCCCCAUUCUGCCGUCUCAAAGGCAGGUUCCGAGUCCACCCCCUCUGUGGGAGCAGGAGCCUCCCCCAUUUGCUCAGGCAUUUAUGAACCUCUCUCCCGGGGCCAGUUUAUGUGGGACAGAUUUAUUCAGUGAGCGAAUUCUAUUUAUUUACUUGUUUGUUGGACAGAGAGAGAGAUAGCGAGAGCGGGAACACA